UACGUAGGGGGCAAGCGUUGUCCGGAUUUAUUGGGCGUAAAGAGCGUGUAGGCGGCCAGACAGGUCCGUUGUGAAAACUCGAGGCUCAACCUCGAGACGCCGAUGGAAACCGUUUGGCUAGAGUCCGGAAGAGGAGAGUGGAAUUCCUGGUGUAGCGGUGAAAUGCGCAGAUAUCAGGAAGAACACCCGUGGCUAAGGCGGCUCUCUAGUACGGUACUGACGCUGAGACGCGAAAGCGUGGGGAG
Molecule: ribosomal RNA, 245 nt
Filed under: uncultured Actinoplanes sp.
Lineage: Bacteria; Bacillati; Actinomycetota; Actinomycetes; Micromonosporales; Micromonosporaceae
Description: partial 16S ribosomal RNA
Rfam family: Bacterial small subunit ribosomal RNA
Source: RNAcentral